GAGAAUAUAGCUCAGAUGGUUAGAGCAACUGACUGUUAAUCAGUAGGUCGAAGGUUCAAGUCCUUUUAUUCUCGCCA
This 77-nucleotide transfer RNA is filed under the name Clostridium botulinum. RNAcentral's name for it is "tRNA-Asn". It matches the Rfam family "tRNA". From Rfam's summary of the family: Transfer RNA (tRNA) molecules are approximately 80 nucleotides in length. Their secondary structure includes four short double-helical elements and three loops (D, anti-codon, and T loops). Further hydrogen bonds mediate the characteristic L-shaped molecular structure. tRNAs have two regions of fundamental functional importance: the anti-codon, which is responsible for specific mRNA codon recognition, and the 3' end, to which the tRNAs corresponding amino acid is attached (by aminoacyl-tRNA synthetases). tRNAs cope with the degeneracy of the genetic code in two manners: having more than one tRNA (with a specific anti-codon) for a particular amino acid; and 'wobble' base-pairing, i.e. permitting non-standard base-pairing at the 3rd anti-codon position. Lineage: Bacteria; Bacillati; Bacillota; Clostridia; Eubacteriales; Clostridiaceae. RNAcentral also lists the same sequence under 4 other names. The record is from RNAcentral.